RNAcentral lists this ribosomal RNA (393 nucleotides) under uncultured bacterium. RNAcentral describes it as "partial 16S ribosomal RNA". It matches the Rfam family "Bacterial small subunit ribosomal RNA", at positions 523 to 918 of the family's 1533-position model. The record is from RNAcentral.
AUACGGAGGAUGCAAGCGUUAUCCGGAUUUAUUGGGUUUAAAGGGUGCGUAGGCGGUUUGCUAAGCGGGAGGUGAAAUGCCGGCGCUCAACGUCGGAAGUGCCUCCCGAACUGGUGGACUGGAAUGACUCUGCCGUGGGAGGAAUGUGUAGUGUAGCGGUGAAAUGCUUAGAGAUUACACAGAGCACCGAUUGCGAAGGCAUCUCACGAAGGGUUGAUUGACGCUGAGGCACGAAAGCGUGGGGAUCAAACAGGAUUAGAUACCCUGGUAGUCCACGCAGUAAACGAUGAUGGCUAACCGCUGGUUUUUUCGGAUCAGUGGCCAAGCGAAAGCGAUAAGCCAUCCACCUGGGGAGUACGACCGCAAGGUUGAAACUCAAAUGAAUUGACGGGG